GGCUACCUGGCGCAAUGGUAGCGCGUUCGGCUUCGAUCGCCAACGGCUACUACUGGUCACGUUACCGAAAGGUUGCAGGUUCGAGUCCUGCGGUGGUCA
This is a non-coding RNA of Daedaleopsis nitida, 99 nucleotides long. NCBI's taxonomy places the organism in Eukaryota, Fungi, Basidiomycota, Agaricomycetes, Polyporales, Polyporaceae. The record is from the annotation of a GenBank genome assembly.